Gymnodraco acuticeps is the source of this 1490-nucleotide long non-coding RNA. RefSeq lists it as uncharacterized. The transcript has 2 exons. Lineage: Eukaryota; Metazoa; Chordata; Actinopteri; Perciformes; Bathydraconidae. The record is from RefSeq and is a predicted model, not a curated record.
UUGCAGGAACUGUUUUGUGCAAUCACACAGUAGCAUUGCUGUUCCAAACAGCACACUACACUGAACUGAACAUGCCAGUUGUGCCACCUGUGCAUAGCUGUACUGAAUCGGAACAGCAAUGGCACAAGCCGCGAACAAUGGGUGUGAAGCCAGGGCCCAUCAACUCCAUGGUCUUCACCAAGCCUGUACCAAAUAGGAUGGUGCAGACUUUUAGCUGGAAAAUUGUGUUUCCUGUAUUUUUAAAAUUCAUAAUUCUGGUGCUGUAUUCCUAACCUUUAUUGUCACAUUAAUGUGCUAUAUUGUCUUUGCCAUUCUUUGUAGGAGUGGAUUCUACAGAGGCAUGGUGGGGCCAUUACCAGAUCCCUGCCUGUUCAGAGUUACGGAGGCAUACUCAGCAUUCAGCAUUGAAGACAGGCCGCUUGUGACCACAAUGAACAUGAGACCUGACAAGCCCCUUGUGGAAAGUGCCUUCGGGAUUGUGCAGGAGGGCAGUGUUCUGUCCUAUCAGAUGCCUGCUUUGACGUCUCGGUACACCACACUUCACACUGACACACCACCAACACCCCACUUGCCCAUAGAGGGGUAUGUGAUCUUGCCAUGUGAUUUACCGCUGGUGUGCUCAGAAGAGGAGCAACUACAUAUGAACAGCUUAUCUGUUGAUUUGGAAAUGUCUCACAAAAUUGAGGAGGCUACCCGUGAGCUCUAGCUCAGAGUGGCAUCUGCUCCGCAAACCCAGGGUUACUGCCUCUAGGUUUAGAGAGAUUUGUCACGUCAGAGGUGAGAGCUCUGCUAACUCUCUUGCAGAGCGAAUACUCAAAGGUACAAGGCAGACUGCAGAAAUGAGGAGAGGUGCCGAGAUGGAGCCCACAGUAGCAGCUGAAUACAGUAGACUGGCAAACGUGAACUACUUCCCUUGUGGCCUUGUCAUUCACCCCUCUACGCCCUGGCUUGGUGCCUCCCAUGAUGGAGUUGUUUUUGACCCAACAGAAUAUCCCCAAUUUGGCCUUGUUGAAUUCAAAUGUCCCAAAUUAUGUCGACUGCAAAUAUGUGCAGAUAGAAUGUGGCUCCCCUAAGCUCAAGAAAAGCCAUGCCUAUUACUGGCAAGUACAGGGUCAACUUCUUGUAUCUGGGAUGCAGUGGUGUGAUUUUGUAGUGUGGGCACAAGAGGACUACCUGGUGCAAAGAAUAUACACAGAUCCAGAAGUGCAAAGAGCAAUCAGAGAAAAAGUAGACUUUUUUUUUUUUUUUUACACAUACAUGCCGAAGUACCUGUCAUUAAAAAAAGUAGUGGGCACUGUAGCCAUUGUUAACUCUGUAAGCAGUUAGCUGCUAGACCCUGGCUCAGCCGUCAUUGUUUUUAGGAGGCAAUCCCUCAAUCAUGUGUUCUGAAUGACAACAAAAUGUGAUUUCAAUAUUUUGUUUUUGAUAUAUAUUGUUUGUCACAUUUCAUAUGUAAAUAAAUAUACAAUUGUAUUUAAAAAGACAAUAAA